AUGAACGCUGGCGGCGUGCCUAAUACAUGCAAGUCGAGCGAACAGACGAGGAGCUUGCUCCUCUGACGUUAGCGGCGGACGGGUGAGUAACACGUGGAUAACCUACCUAUAAGACUGGGAUAACUUCGGGAAACCGGAGCUAAUACCGGAUAAUAUAUUGAACCGCAAGGUUCAAUAGUGAAAGACGGUUUUGCUGUCACUUAUAGAUGGAUCCGCGCCGCAUUAGCUAGUUGGUAAGGUAACGGCUUACCAAGGCAACGAUGCGUAGCCGACCUGAGAGGGUGUACGGCCACACCGGAACUGAGACACGGUCCAGACUCCUACGGGAGGCAGCAGUAGGGAAUCUUCCGCAAUGGGCGAAAGCCUGACGGAGCAACGCCGCGUGAGUGAUGAAGGUCUUCGGAUCGUAAAACUCUGUUAUUAGGGAAGAACAAAUGUGUAAGUAACUAUGCACGUCUUGACGGUACCUAAUCAGAAAGCCACGGCUAACUACGUG
RNAcentral lists this ribosomal RNA (496 nucleotides) under uncultured bacterium. RNAcentral's name for it is "partial 16S ribosomal RNA". It matches the Rfam family "Bacterial small subunit ribosomal RNA", at positions 29 to 507 of the family's 1533-position model. The record is from RNAcentral.